CAUCUGUGAUUAUCCUAUUCUGAACCUGAAUUUCUACUAGAAAAAACUUAUAUGAAUCUGGCUUCUGAGAU
This is a small nucleolar RNA of Homo sapiens (human), 71 nucleotides long. The record is from Ensembl. NCBI's taxonomy places the organism in Eukaryota, Metazoa, Chordata, Mammalia, Primates, Hominidae.